ACUUUUGAAGGAAAACAGUUAUCCGAUGGCCCUAGGAACCAAUAUUCUUGGUGCAAAUCCAAGUAAAAGUAAUG
Molecule: transfer RNA, 74 nt
Filed under: Brookesia therezieni
Lineage: Eukaryota; Metazoa; Chordata; Lepidosauria; Squamata; Chamaeleonidae
Description: partial tRNA-Leu
Source: RNAcentral